This 253-nucleotide ribosomal RNA is filed under the name uncultured bacterium. RNAcentral's name for it is "partial 16S ribosomal RNA". It matches the Rfam family "Bacterial small subunit ribosomal RNA", at positions 524 to 776 of the family's 1533-position model. The record is from RNAcentral.
GACGAACCGUGCGAACGUUGUUCGGAAUCACUGGGCUUAAAGGGCGCGUAGGCGGGCGGGCAAGUCUGCGGUGAAAGCCUCCAGCUCAACUGGAGAAGUGCCGUGGAUACUGCUCAUCUUGAGGAGGGUAGGGGCGUCUGGAACGUUGGGUGGAGCGGUGAAAUGCGUUGAUAUCCAACGGAACUCCGGUGGCGAAGGCGAGGCGCUGGACCCUUUCUGACGCUGAUGCGCGGAAGCCAGGGGAGCGAACGGG